RNAcentral lists this long non-coding RNA (665 nucleotides) under Nicotiana tabacum (common tobacco). Its description in RNAcentral is "long non-coding RNA (NTAB_LNC003212)". The record is from RNAcentral. Lineage: Eukaryota; Viridiplantae; Streptophyta; Magnoliopsida; Solanales; Solanaceae.
CAAUAAACACAAAAUAUUCCACUUUUCACUCACUCUAUAUGAGUUAUUGGCAAUUUAGACUCCAACCAAAGCUUGAGUGUUGAGACUCAAGAAACUGCUCUUAGUUUAAAGGUGGGAAGUGAAGAAAUGAUUAGUGAAAGUUCAAUUCCUCUUAAUUAAUUAUUGGAAGGAGAAAUGAUUAGCCUAGCAUUGCUGAAUGCUAGGCAGCCAAAUGUGGUUUCAAGGCAAUGAGUUCAUACAGCAAAUUAAGGUAUCUAAGAAAUCAUUUAACAUUAUUCGACUAUUUUCGAAAUGAUUUUUCGCAUUUUAUUUGUUUUGUAUUUCAACCUCAUCUUUAGCAAUGUAUCAUGUGUUGUGAGAAUGAAUACAAAUUCACUAUGUUUUGUGCUGCUAUCAAUCUACCAAAACACUUCUCUUUUAUGUGAACUUGGAACCUGCAUUGUCAAUAAACUCUCAAUUACUUUUUUGGAAUUGAAGCGCAGUUAUUGUUGAACGUUACUUUCAGAAAGUUGCUAGCUUGGUUUACCUGCAGCCAUGUCGUCACCACCUUGCUGGCCGGCUGUCCUAACGAUACCUCCCGGCAUUAGUCCGGCAGCAUUGCUUGAUUCUCCGGUGAUGUUUCCAAGUUCAGUGGUAUUGGCUUUUUUUUGUUGUUUUAAUUAAUU